This 60-nucleotide transfer RNA is filed under the name Polyascus gregaria. Its description in RNAcentral is "tRNA-Ser". The record is from RNAcentral. Lineage: Eukaryota; Metazoa; Arthropoda; Thecostraca; Sacculinidae.
AAAAGUUAUAUUUAGUGUUUUGAAUACAUUAUUGGAUAAUAAUAUUAUUAUCAACUUUUU